This 614-nucleotide ribosomal RNA is filed under the name uncultured bacterium. RNAcentral's name for it is "bacterial SSU rRNA". It matches the Rfam family "Bacterial small subunit ribosomal RNA", at positions 549 to 1162 of the family's 1533-position model. The record is from RNAcentral.
AAUUAUUGGGCGUAAAGAGCUCGUACGGAGUUUGUCGCGUCUGCUGUGAAAACGCGGGGCUCAACUCCGCGCCUGCAGUGGGUACGGGCAGACUAGAGUGCGGUAGGGGAGAUUGGAAUUCCUGGUGUAGCGGUGGAAUGCGCAGAUAUCAGGAGGAACACCGAUGGCGAAGGCAGAUCUCUGGGCCGUGACUGACGCUGAGGAGCGAAAGGGUGGGGAGCAAACAGGCUUAGAUACCCUGGUAGUCCACCCCGUAAACGUUGGGAACUAGUUGUGGGGGCCUUUCCACGGUCUCCGUGACGCAGCUAACGCAUUAAGUUCCCCGCCUGGGGAGUACGGCCGCAAGGCUAAAACUCAAAGGAAUUGACGGGGACCCGCACAAGCGGCGGAGCAUGCGGAUUAAUUCGAUGCAACGCGAAGAACCUUACCAAGGCUUGACAUACACCGGAAACGUCCAGAGAUGGUCGCCCCUUUUUGGUCGGUGUACAGGUGGUGCAUGGUUGUCGUCAGCUCGUGUCGUGAGAUGUUGGGUUAAGUCCCGCAACGAGCGCAACCCUCGUUCUAUGUUGCCAGCACGUUAUGGUGGGAACUCAUGGGAUACUGCCGGGGUCAAC